AUUUGGUGUUCGACCCGAAAGAUAUAGUUGGACAAUUUUGGGCCUUUGUUCCCAUAUUUGCAAGUCAGUUCAUCCCUCUGCCCUCUCCGACGAUCCACUACGAGAACUCGCGGCGAAGCGCCGGAAAUGACGAAGUUCUUCGCGUUUGAGAAGAUGCACAGGCAUUCAGGUGAAAGAAUGAGGGAUCAACUUUCUAGGUGCACCUCGUCCAGGAGUGUCUAAAGAAUCCAUUUGAUGUAUAGUGGUAGAUGGUGCAAACGUUGGCCUCACUAAUCAGCCUAGUUAUGAUUUCUCCCAGAAAAAAAACAUUCUUUGGUAGCCUUUUUUUGUAUCACCAAGAAAUUUAGCUGGGGCCAUUCCAAAUGACUAAUUGCAUGCAACCUUCAAGACUCGGGGAUAAUGGGCCAGCUGCUCUUCCAUUCUCCACUUUAAUACCAGGCUCGAUGCAGGUUUAUCUUGCAGUGACGGUAUGUUAGCAACAUUGUCCAUCUAGUCCAGAGUAAAUUCUUCUCCACAUUGAUCAAUCCACGUGCUCAAGUGAAAUGACUUGAAGCUUUUGUUAAUUUGGCCUCAAAGCUGAAGUGGUUCAGGGAAAUUUAUAUGGUGCUUGGUUUUCUAAAUUUACCAUUUUGGCUCCUGAUGUGUUUCUGUUUGUUUGUCUUUCUGACUGUGCCUUUUUUAUUUACAAAGGGUUGAUUGAUCGAUCAAUAAUGCCUCAACUUUGCUGCAGGGGAAUAUCAUGGGAGUGUAUGUUUUAAUCGUAGAUUGUUAUUUUGAUUUUAUUUCAUGUUCACCACUUGAAAAGAUAAAUGAAGUUAUGCCUGAUAA
Molecule: long non-coding RNA, 828 nt
Organism: Solanum pennellii
Lineage: Eukaryota; Viridiplantae; Streptophyta; Magnoliopsida; Solanales; Solanaceae
Exons: 3
Source: RefSeq, a predicted model, not a curated record